UACCAGUUGGCAUGAAAGUGCAAAAAAAACCACCAAAAAGCACCAGGUUGUUUGAUUCAGAGGCCUUGAGUGUGUGGAAUCUCAAGCCUCUCUCCCUGCACGACCUCUAAUUAACACACACACACACACACAUACACACACACACACAUACACAUCACUUCCCAGUGCUGUGAGCCAUCCAUAGCCAAAAACUUUAUGACAGUGUUUGGAUGGCACAUUAUAAUGAACCACACUGGUAUGCUAAGAGCAUUAAACGAAAACGGAAAACCGAACUAGGGCUGAGUCGAUAUAUCAUUACUAAGACACACGACGAAACCUGAUUAUUAUUACAUUAUUAUAGCCCUGUCGAAAUCUCAAAUCCGAUUGGUCGGAAGGUGUUGAGAUUUAUUUUCUAUAACCGCAGCUUUGACAGUAGCUCGGGCUACAAGGCAAAUUACAGGUUUAUAUUAUUGCUGUAGAUUGUCACUGUUUCUUUAGAUACAAUCUGCGCAGGGAUUUGUAGGCUAGACACUCCACAUAAACGGCUUUACAGAACGUGUAUCUGUUGAUAUGGGGAAGUUUUUGCUGACGAGAUACUUGUAUAUAGCAAGUGAAAUGCUUGCAUAUACAAGUAUUUCACCUAAUAUACAAGUAUUUCACCUACUAUAUACAUGUAUUUCACCUACUAUAUACAUGUAUUCUACUAUAUACAUGUAUUUCACCUACUAUAUACAUGUAUUUCACCUACUAUAUACACGUAUUCUACUAUAUACAUGUAUUUCACCUACUAUAUCGUAGCCGAAAUACGUGUAUUUCACCUACUAUAAACAUGUAUUUCACCUACUAUAUACACGUAUUCUACUAUUUACAUGUAUUUCACCUACAAUAUAGACGUAUUCUACUAUAUACAUGUAUUUCACCUACUAUAUACACGUAUUCUACUAUAUACAUGUAUUUCACCUACUACAUACAAGUAUUUCACAUACGGUAUACAAGUAUUUCACCUACUAUAUACAUGUAUUUUACCAUAUACAUGUAUUUCACCUACUAUAUACAAGUAUUUCACCUACUAUAUACACGUAUUCUACUAUAUACAAGUAUUUCACCUACUAUAUACAUGUAUUUCACCUACUAUAUACACGUAUUCUACCAUAUACAUGUAUUUCACCUACUAUAUACAUGUAUUCUACUAUAUACAUUUAUUUCACCUACUAUAUACAAGUAUUUCACCUACUAU
Molecule: long non-coding RNA, 1216 nt
Organism: Ictalurus punctatus (channel catfish)
Lineage: Eukaryota; Metazoa; Chordata; Actinopteri; Siluriformes; Ictaluridae
Source: Ensembl